RNAcentral lists this ribosomal RNA (449 nucleotides) under uncultured bacterium. RNAcentral's name for it is "SSU rRNA". It matches the Rfam family "Bacterial small subunit ribosomal RNA", at positions 26 to 518 of the family's 1533-position model. The record is from RNAcentral.
AGAGCGAACGCUGGCGGCAGGCUUAACACAUGCAAGUCGAGCGGGCACCUUCGGGUGUCAGCGGCAGACGGGUGAGUAACACGUGGGAACGUACCCUUCGGUUCGGAAUAACGCUGGGAAACUAGCGCUAAAUACCGGAUACGCCCUUUUGGGGAAAGGUUUACUGCCGAAGGAUCGGCCCGCGUCUGAUUAGCUAGUUGGUGGGGUAACGGCCUACCAAGGCGACGAUCAGUAGCUGGUCUGAGAGGAUGAUCAGCCACACUGGGACUGAGACACGGCCCAGACUCCUACGGGAGGCAGCAGUGGGGAAUAUUGGACAAUGGGCGCAAGCCUGAUCCAGCCAUGCCGCGUGAGUGAUGAAGGCCUUAGGGUUGUAAAGCUCUUUUGUCCGGGACGAUAAUGACGGUACCGGAAGAAUAAGCCCCGGCUAACUUCGUGCCAGCAGCCGC